GUUAUAGCGUUUACAAGACCGGUUUCGGACUCUUAAUGAAGAGACCUUCGUCAGUUGUUUUUCGCUAGGUUGCUAAUGAGGACUUCGUAAAGUAUGCUCGAUUAGCGGAUUGAGACAUGAAGUCACGGGCCCGUUUAUAUAUCAGAGGUCGGACGAAUCUUUAAUUGAAGUGACUAGUCGGUGAUUGGCUAUCUAGCGUUUUACACUAUUUCGAUCCGCGUCAUUUUAAGGUAGGCUAUGUUUUGAAAACAAAAGGCCUAUUGUCGGUGACACGGUCGCGUGGUAGCGCUAUUGUUAAACCAUAGGAAG
This is a long non-coding RNA of Nematostella vectensis (starlet sea anemone), 309 nucleotides long. RefSeq lists it as uncharacterized. Lineage: Eukaryota; Metazoa; Cnidaria; Anthozoa; Actiniaria; Edwardsiidae. The transcript is spliced from 2 exons. The record is from RefSeq and is a predicted model, not a curated record.